AAUAAUACUAAUAAAUAGUAUAAAAAAGCAUAAUAAUAUAUAUUUAUUAACAUUAUCAACUAAAGCACACUCAUUUUAUAUUCAUUUAAAUAGUUUAGGUGAAUAAUGGUUCCUUUGUUGACUAAGAACAUACAAAAUGGUUGCUAAAUCACUAACCUUUGUUGCAGCUGCCAAAGUUGUUCACUCUCUUGUUGAGGCUGAAGAACCAGGUCCAGAGGAACUUGCUCCAGUAAUUGAAGACCACAGUCACUUUAUAGAGGAGAAAGAAUCAGUUCAGGAGAAACUCAUUCCAGUUGAUGCAGAAGAAGCAACAUCUCCUGAGGAAUUAUCCGCUGAAGAAGACAUUCCAGUUGUUGAAAUACAACCAGAACCAGUUUUCAUCAGAGAUCAGGUCUCUGAUGACACAGAUGAAGCUGUAUCUAAGGAAACAGCCAUUCAGGAGCCUUUGGCUGCAGCUCCACAAGAAUCUUCAGAGGAAGAAACUGUCCCUGUAGAAGCUGCCUUUGCAGAGGCAUCUCCAGAUGAAACUUCAGAAGAAGUUGCCCCAGCUGUUGCUCUAGAGAGUGAGUCUUCAGAACAGCACCAUGUGGAGGAUCCAGCUCCAGAUGUACCGAUCCCCAUUAUUCCUUUAGAAGCUUCAGAAGAUGAAGCUUCAGAGGAAAAUGCAGCAGAGGAAGCUGCUCCAGAAGAACCUUUACUUAUAGUCCCCGAUGACAAUACUGACGUAGAAGAACCUCUUCCAGUGACACCAGAAGAAGAGGAAAAUGUUGUCCUCGUCCCUGCAGAACUUGAGAUAGAGGAGGUAGGUCAAGAGGAACCUGCUCUAGAGGAAACAGCUCCAGAGGAGUCAGUCCCAGAAGAUCCAGUUGCCAUUGUUCCUUUGGACCCUGUUGAAGAGGAGCCAGAGCUGGAAGAACAAGUUAAAGAAGAAUCAAUCCCCAUAGUUUCCCCAGAAGCACCAGAUGAAGAGCCUCCAGGGGAAGAGGAAUCAGUUGUCCUUGUCCAUGCAGAACUUGACCCAGAAGAGGAAGGUCAAGUGGGAGUGGAUGUAGAAGAAACAGCACCAGAAGAGUCAGCCCCAGAAGAACCUGCUAUUAUUGUUCCAGUGGAGCCCGCUGAACAGGAGCCCGAUCAAGAGCAACAAGAGGAAACAGUCCCUAUCAUUUCUUCAGGAACAAAAGAAGAGGAAGCUCCAGAGGAGCAAGCAAAUGAAGAAGCAGUUGCCCCAGUAGUCCCAGAAGAAAAUGCUGAAGUGGACCCUGCUGCAGAGGAAACGGCACCAGAGGACUCAGCCCCAGAAGAUCCAGUUGUAAUUGUUCCUUUGGACUCUGUUGAAGAGGAGCCAGAGCUGGAAGAGCAAGUUAAAGAAGACGCAAUCCCCAUAGUUUCCCCAGAAGCACCAAAUGAAGAGCCUCCAGAAGAAAAGGAAUCUGUUGUCCUCGUCCAUGCAGAACUUGACCCAGAAGAGGAAGGUCAAGUGGGAGUGGCUGUAGAAGAAACAGUACCAGAAGAGGAUGGUCAAGUGGGAGUGGCUAUAGAAGAAACAGUAGCAGAAGAGGAGGGUCAAGUGGGAGUGGAUGUAGAAGAAACAGCACCAGAAGAACCUGCUAUUAUUGUUCCUGUGGAGCCCGCUGAACAGGAGCCUGAUCAAGAGGAACAAGUGGCAACAGUCCCUAUUAUUUCUUCAGGAACAAAAGAAGAGGAAGCUCCAGAGGAGCAAGCAAAAGAAGAAACAGUUGCCCCAGUAGUCCCACAAGAAAAUGCUGAAGUGGACCCUGCUUCUAAUGAAGAACCUCUCCCAAGUCCAUUUGACGAAGAGGAAUCUGUUGCCCUUCCUAUAGAGCCUGAAGUUCAAGUGGACCCUGCUGUAGAGGAAGAAGCACCACAAGAGACAGCCCCAGAAGACCCAGUUGUCAUUGUUCCUUUGGACCCUGUUGAAGAGGAGCCAGAGCAGGAAGAACAAGUUAAAGAAGAAUCAAUCCCCAUAGUUUCCCCAGAAGCAACAGAUGAAGAGCCUCCAGAAGAAUAUACAGAAGUAGAAGCUGCAGGGGUGCCUGUCCCAAUAGUCCCAGAAGAAAAUACAGAAGAGGACCCCGCUAACAAAGAACUUAUUCCUAGUACACCAGAAGAAGAGGAAUCGGUUGUCCUUGACCAUGCAGAACUUGAACCAGAAGAAGAAGGUCAAGAGGAAGCAGCUGUAGCAGAAACAGCACCAGAAGAGCCUGUUGUUAUUGUUGUUGUGGAACCUACUAGUGACGAACCAGCUCCAGAAGACCCUGUUGUCAUCAUUGUAGAAGAGGAUGCUCCAGAGGAUAACACAGAAGAAGAAGUUGUCCAAUCAGAUCCUCUACCAAAGGGAACAGUCACAGCUCCUGCCCCAGCUGUCACUGAUGUAGAACCUGAAAUCAUUCCCACUCCUGUGGAAGGUGGUAAUGGCACCAGCAGUGAAGAUUUCAAUGCUGCAAUUAAACUGAUAGAAGAAGAACCUGUAGCUCUGAUAAACAGGGGGACAGUACUGGGUGCAGCAUUCUUCACACUGAUGUCUUUUAUCAUUGGUGGAUUUAUUUGGAUGACUGUAUCCAAGAAAUUGCACUGAAUGUAAGUGAGUACAACAAUGUCACCAAAUCUAAUUUGUUUUAAUCCACAAUUAUCAAAUGGUUUAGUAUUCAAAUAUGUCUAUAAUGUCUAUAUUUCUCCUAUUUUAGGACACUGAAGUAAAGAUCAGCUGUCAGAAGAUCAGAUCAGUUGUUUGAUGAAAUAUGGAGCAACUGAAGCAUAACAGGUUUCUCUGCAUUGAAUAUUUGCUGAGGAAAAGACAACUGAAGGAAAUUCUGCAGUUUCUUCAAGGUUGAAGGACAGAAAGUCACUAUGUUAAUGUAAACCAGAGGUGGAAUAGGUAUUAAGAUCUCUCCCUGAUGAAGGCAUGAAUAUAAGUAGCACUUUCCUGUUGGUUGAGGAGGAGGUAAUAUUACCUACUUUAUAUACUUUUGGGUAGAUUAAAGGUGUCCUGUUGAGUUUUCUUGUAAACAAACAAAUAAUUUUAAUAAAUUUGUUAACAUUCAUAAGACAUUGUUUGUACCCUUGAGGUUUAACAAACCCAUUGAGUGAAUUUCAUCCUCAAAAAACAAAGAUUUUAUGAAUAUUUUAAAUUCCAAUGUUUACAUGCUAGCAGUCACCUUCUUUGUCUUCUUUGCGUGUUACCACCACCUUCUGUCAGGAAUGUGUAUUGCGUUGUCAAUGUCCUAAUGAACAAACCAAACACUAGUAAAAGCAUUGCUCCAUGGUGCUACUAGUGGUCAAAAGCUCCACAGGGUACCUGUAACCUAUGCAUAUCUAUAUGUUACAGGCUGAUCAUAAGCUUUGUGUGUAAAAUAAGGGUGUCAAAUAAAUGCAGUGGAGAAAUUAAUACAACAUUAUGCUCCAGUAUUGUAGCGUAAAAUAAAUGCUCAAAGUAUAAGUACCUCCACAUUGCACUUAAGUACAUUUUCCACCUCUGUUCUUAAAACUACGUCUUGACAUAUUUAAAGGUGUGGAAUGAAGUAGAUUAUUAGCUACUUGAGAGGAUGAUAACAUGCAAGUAUAAAUGGUAUAGAAGUGCUUUAUGAAAAAUGUGAGCAUGUGACCAACUUUACUAAAGGGGGAGUCAUGCUCUAUAAGACUUGAUUUGUUGGUGUAUUUGACAGUAAGCAUUUAUGAAUGAUGAGUCUUUAUGUUUUGAUUUUGAAAUGUAUGUAUGAUGAAAACUUUAAUGCACUGGUAACUUUACUUGUAGUUUUUUGAUUGUGGAACAUUAAAGUAAUGCAG
Molecule: long non-coding RNA, 3804 nt
Organism: Dicentrarchus labrax (European seabass)
Lineage: Eukaryota; Metazoa; Chordata; Actinopteri; Moronidae
Source: Ensembl